AAAUGGAAGGGAGAAAAAGACAGCAGCAAACGUGGACAGGUUUGUGGGCUUUGUGGCAGGCAAGUGAGCGCGUUGCCUCUGAUGAUUUUCAUUUCUCUCAGGCUGAGGUGAGGUCAACUGUUCUGUGUGUGGGAGCCAGAGAAGAAAGCAGCACAGAACAAAUGCAAACCAAGGAGGCUGGAAGAUAAGAGCAGAGCCAUCAGGACCCAAGCCCCUCGGGGGUAUGAAACAGGAGUCCUGGGAGCAAAUUAGUAGGUGCACUCUAUGGAGGGACGGAAGGGGCAGGGAGGAGCAUCUGAAUGUAAGAUUUCAGAGAAGCUCAUUUUGUCAGCGUUUCAGAGCUUCCUGUGUGCAGCAUGGAUCUAAAGCUGGUGGAUGCAGGGGGGUGAACAAGACAACAUCUUCACUUCCUGCAUGCUGAUGGCGGAAGUGAGACAUCAGCGAAGAAACAUCACGAUCACCAAAUUAUGAUGAACACCAUGGAGAAAACAAAGGACACUGUGACACCAAGGAAGGAAGGGAAGUUACUUUUCAUAGUGGCUGUAAAUAGAAAUGAAGGCUGAAAAAGAGCUGUUAAAAUGGCUUGUUUGAAGAUGAAUGAGAGUAUAUAAUAAAAGAGAAGAGACGGAAAGGAGGGGGAGUCAGGAACGCAGGCGAAGCGCAUCUGCCCGGUUCUGGUGAGACCAGCCCGACAACUGUCAAGUCAUCACUGCUUAAUAACACCUGCUGGAAGGACAAAGGAAAGAGCUGCUGGCACCGAGUCACAUGUCCACACAAACCACAGAGCAGGCCGUAGAUGCCAACCCCUUCCCCUUCCCACCCUGUGCCUGUUCUUCAUGUUAAUCUAUUACUCUAAUCAUUUAUUCAUUGUGUAGCAAAUGAUCAUCUUCCUAUCAUUUGUUUAUUACUAUUUUUACUUUCAUUAUCACAUUAGAUUUUCACACAUGGGAGCAUAUGGGGGACAUAUUUGUUUAUUAGUUUAUAACCUAAAAUGAAUAUUUUAUACAGGAACAUUUUAAACAGAGGCAGAAAAACCCUUAACCCAAUUUUAUCUUAUGCUAAAAUUUCAUUAUCACCAAUUCUCAGGCCUCUAAGCACUGUGCAAACAAUCCUCGAGGAAUGGGUGUUAUCAAUUAUUAAUAACUAUUAAAUUAGCAUGGAGUUUGAUUUUCCCCUAAGAAUGUUUCGUAACUGCAGAGCAGAGAAAGAGCCUCUGCUCCCUUCCAGGUCUCCUGUUCAAACAAACCUGAACCCGGCCCAGGCACCCAGGCAUCUUGGAGUGACCAGCAGUGAGCCCACGGCUGUGCCUCUGCCCUGCAGGGCACUCCGGGCCUGGACAUCCUCCGGGGUAGAAGGAUGAACCCUUCUCCUGGGGAAUUUCUGGCAGGUGCAUGUGAUCUUGAUAUUCUCUGCAAGUGGCAGAAGGAGCUUGUCCCCCUCACCAUCUGUUAUGGGCUGAAUUCUGUCCCUCCAAGAUUCAAAUGUUGAAACCCUAACCUCCAGACAUCCAGAAUGUGACUGCAUUUGGAAACAGGGCCUUUAAAGGUGACUAAAUUAAAAUGGACUGGUCCUUACUUCAAUAUGACUGCUGUCCUUAUAGGAAAAAAUUUGGACACAGACACACACAGAGGGAUGACCACGUGGAGACGCAGGGAGAGGAUAGCAGCUACAGGCCAGGGCGAGAGGCUUCAGAGGAAACCAGCCCUGCUGACUCUUUGAAGUCGGACUCCCAGCCUCCAGAACUGUGAGAAAAUACAUUUCUGUUUUAA
Molecule: long non-coding RNA, 1769 nt
Organism: Pongo pygmaeus (Bornean orangutan)
Lineage: Eukaryota; Metazoa; Chordata; Mammalia; Primates; Hominidae
Exons: 2
Source: RefSeq, a predicted model, not a curated record